GAUGAACGCUGGCGGCGUGCCUAAUACAUGCAAGUAGAACGCUGAAGGAAGGAGCUUGCUCUUUCCGGAUGAGUUGCGAACGGGUGAGUAACGCGUAGGUAACCUGCCUGGUAGCGGGGGAUAACUAUUGGAAACGAUAGCUAAUACCGCAUAACAGUAGAUGUUGCAUGAUAUCUACUUAAAAGGUGCAAUUGCCCCACUACCAGAUGGACCUGCGUUGUAUUAGCUAGUUGGUGAGGUAACGGCUCACCAAGGCGACGAUACAUAGCCGACCUGAGAGGGUGAUCGGCCACACUGGGACUGAGACACGGCCCAGGCUCCCACGGGAGGCAGCAGUAGGGAAUCUUCGGCAAUGGACGGAAGUCUGGCCGAGCAACGCCGCGUGAGUGAAGAAGGUUUUCGGAUCGUAAAGCUCUGUUGUAAGAGAAGAACGAGUGUGAGAGUGGAAAGUUCACGCUGUGACGGUAUCUUACCAGAAAGGGACGGCUAACUACGUG
RNAcentral lists this ribosomal RNA (497 nucleotides) under uncultured bacterium. Its description in RNAcentral is "partial 16S ribosomal RNA". It matches the Rfam family "Bacterial small subunit ribosomal RNA", at positions 28 to 507 of the family's 1533-position model. The record is from RNAcentral.